RNAcentral lists this long non-coding RNA (301 nucleotides) under Physcomitrium patens. Its description in RNAcentral is "long non-coding RNA (PPAT_LNC011780)". Lineage: Eukaryota; Viridiplantae; Streptophyta; Bryopsida; Funariales; Funariaceae. The record is from RNAcentral.
GAACAAUCCAAACUAUUAAUCUUCAAUACCGCUUUGUACUUACGAUCUUGUAUCCACUGACUGUCUUGUUAGAUUAACCCAAUAAAUUUCAUUCACUCCGCAUACUCAAUCCUAUAGACAUCCUUUUAAUCCUUCAAUCACAGACGUAACUCGAUUUCACAAAACAGUCAAGAGUAUUCAAACCCACUUCAUUAAAAAUCCCGAUUCACCAUUACAAUACUGACUUCAGCAACGAUUGCCUCAGUCUUCUCAAAACUCUACGAAGAAGAAAAAUCCAAAUUUUCUAUCUUUCCUUCCCCGA